This 1845-nucleotide long non-coding RNA is filed under the name Haliotis rufescens (red abalone). RNAcentral describes it as "uncharacterized LOC125381156, transcript variant X1". Lineage: Eukaryota; Metazoa; Mollusca; Gastropoda; Lepetellida; Haliotidae. The record is from RNAcentral.
CCCAACUGGUAAAUGUCUAAGACCUGCAUCACUUCGGACUUUCCUCCCACAUUAAGAUGACAUGCCGUGAUAUGACUGUAAUACUGUUCAAAGUGGUGUUGAAACAAACACACUCACUCACAAUGACUGAAGUACUGGAUUUUCAUCCACAUUUAUCAAAAAUGGGAGGCAUUUGUUUCAUUUUGUUUUCAUCAUCAACUUACCAAGCUACUAUGUAAGUUUAUUUUCAAGGGAUGUGAUUCACAUGGAACAUGAGUGCAGUAGGCCUAUAUGGUGUAUUGCAUCAAGUAAAGAAAUUAGAAAACACACGUAAUGAUUUUCUUCUUCUGUAGGUACUAAAUAAUGUAAUUAUUAUGGCCUAAUGUAAGCAGUUAUAAUCAUGAUUAUCAUACCACCAAAUCCCAACAUCACCAUAAUUACUGUGAGUUUAGUAUAACACUAAGUAAAUUACUCAAGAUAUUUUAAGCAUUUUCUGACAUAGAUAUUGUAAUCCGAUUAUGGGAACAAUGAACUAGUAUUUCUUUUAAAAAGAGACUGAUUUUGUCCAUAUAUUACUCAAAACAAGUUACGUAAAACCCAAUUAACUAUAGUAAUAGGAAAAAAAUGGUUCUUUAACUUCUUUUCAGUAGUAUAUGCCACAAACUACUUGAAUGAAACCUUGUUAAUCUAGAUGCUUGUUAUCUGGUGGGUAAAUCUUAGUUAAUGAGUUACUUGUGUUGCUAUUAUCUUAGCAGUAACCAUGCAAUAGCUAAGUUUUUUUCUGAUUGCUGAGGUCCAGAUGAUUCAAUAGCUUGGCUUUCUUCUGAUUGCUGAGGUCCAGAUGAUUCAAUAGCUUGGCUUUCUUCUGAUUGCUGAGGUCCAGAUGAUUCAAUAGCUUGGCUUUCUUCUGAUUGCUGAGGUCCAGAUGAUUCAAUAGCUUGGCUUUCUUCUGAUUGCUGAGGUCCAGAUGAUUCUAUAGCUUGGCUUUCUUCUGAUUGCUGAGGUCCAGAUGAUUCAAUAGCUUGGCUUUCUUCAGAUUGCUGAGGUCCAGAUGAUUCAAUACCUUGGCUUUCUUCUGAGUACUGAGCGCCAGAUUAACAAGGUUUGACACUGUUUGUAUAAAUAGUUUCUGUAUUUUUUCCUAGAGGCAGGUACUAUUGUGAUUAGAUGUAAAAGUUUGCUUAAAAUAUGGUGUUAGUGAUACAGCUUGUUUGUGAACGUAUUUUCAACAUGACUAAGUUAACCACACAAGGCGAGACACUGCUUUACACUCACUCAUAGCGUGAGGCAGAAAAGAUAAAUCCAGAUCAAAUUGACCUUAAAAGAGCUGAUAUCAAACACAUUUUACAGCACAGACUGCGGACACAGUAUAUUUUUAGUGAUCCUCACCAAGAGGAUAAAUAUUUGGAUUUCAUGGCCUUUUUGGAUACUUAGGAUACAAAGGAUACUUCAAAAGAAGUUUAUCGCCAUGCUAUUUCUAUGUUUCAGCUGGUAAUUUCCACCAAAUAUGCUGUCAUGAAUUGUGUUCAUGAUCAGUUACGUAGAAGCUGAUUGACUUUUUUAAAAAACUUGCCUGAAAAAUGCUUACCUUGUGGUUUAUCCUGUAGUUUGUGCAUUAUGCUGAAUCAGCAUAUUUUUUUAAAGGUUAAUUUGAUGCAUGUGGUGUUUAUUUGGCAAACCUGUCACUGAUGAUUAAAGCCCUUUUACCUUGUUGUGCUGAUUAUGCAGUGUAAUUAUUGUACUUUCAAGUGUAAUGACAGUGAAAUGGAAAAGAAUUAGAAACAUUUCCAUUGCACCUGAAUGUUGUGUUAUAAGAAAGGCAGUUUGAGCUACAGUUCAGGAAAAUAAACGCCAACUGAAAUAAAA